GUAGGUGGCGGAUGAGAGAGCUGGCGCAGCUACCCUGGUGGCGGUGGCUGAAGUGGCGGCGGCUGCGGCGGCUGCAACAGCUUCGGGCUCGGGGUUUUGGCGGCGGCGCCGGCGGGCUGGGCUGCGUGGUGCGGACCCCGGCGCGCGGUCCGGGUUGCUGGGGCGGCGCGUAUGCCUCUAAUGGAGGAAUUUCUGAGCAGCACCCCUGGCCCAGUGGCUUUGAAAGGGAGCUCAAACCAGAGACUAUUUCAAGCCCUGGACAUCAUAUCCUGAGGGCCACAGGAGAAGAGAACAUGGCUGUGAGUUUGGAUGACGACGUGCCACUCAUCCUGACCUUGGACGAGGGUGGCAGUGCCCCACUGGCUCCCUCCAACGGCCUGGGCCAGGAAGAGCUACCUAGUAAAAAUGGCGGCAGCUAUGCCAUCCACGACUCGCAGGCCCCCAGUCUCAGCUCUGAGGGCAGGAAUUCCCCCUCCAGCCCCACACACAACUGGGAGAUGAAUUACCAAGAGGCAGCAAUCUACCUCCAGGAAGGCGAGAACAAUGACAAGUUCUUCACCCACCCCAAGGAUGCCAAGGCGCUGGCGGCCUACCUCUUUGCACACAAUCACCUCUUCUACCUGAUGGAGCUGGCCACGGCCCUGCUGCUGCUGCUGCUCUCCCUGUGCGAGGCCCCCGCCGUCCCCGCGCUCCGGCUUGGCAUCUACGUCCACGCCACCCUGGAACUAUUCGCCCUGAUGGUGGUAGUGUUUGAACUCUGCAUGAAGUUACGCUGGCUGGGCCUCCACACCUUCAUCCGGCACAAGCGGACCAUGGUCAAGACCUCGGUGCUGGUGGUGCAGUUUGUCGAGGCCAUCGUGGUGUUGGUACGGCAGAUGUCCCAUGUGCGGGUGACCCGAGCACUGCGCUGCAUUUUCCUGGUGGACUGUCGGUAUUGCGGUGGCGUCCGGCGCAACCUGCGGCAGAUCUUCCAGUCCCUACCACCCUUCAUGGACAUCCUCCUGCUGCUGCUGUUCUUCAUGAUCAUCUUCGCCAUCCUCGGUUUCUACUUGUUCUCCCCUAACCCUUCAGACCCCUACUUCAGCAGCCUGGAGAACAGCAUUGUCAGUCUGUUUGUCCUUCUAACCACAGCCAAUUUCCCAGAUGUGAUGAUGCCCUCCUACUCCCGGAACCCCUGGUCCUGUGUCUUCUUCAUUGUGUACCUCUCCAUUGAGCUGUACUUCAUCAUGAACCUGCUUCUGGCUGUGGUGUUCGACACCUUCAAUGACAUUGAGAAACGCAAGUUCAAGUCGUUGCUACUGCACAAGCGAACUGCCAUCCAGCAUGCCUACCGCCUGCUCGUCAGCCAGAGGAGGCCCGCCGGCAUCUCCUACAGGCAUUUUGAAGGCCUCAUGCGCUUCUACAAGCCCCGGAUGAGUGCCAGGGAGCGCUAUCUUACCUUCAAGGCCCUGAAUCAGAACAACACACCUCUGCUCAGCCUAAAGGACUUUUACGAUAUCUAUGAAGUUGCGGCUUUGAAGUGGAAGGCCAAGAAAAACAGAGAGCACUGGUUUGAUGAGCUUCCCAGGACGGCGCUCCUCAUCUUCAAAGGCAUUAAUAUCCUUGUGAAGUCCAAGGCCUUCCAGUAUUUCAUGUACUUGGUGGUGGCAGUCAACGGGGUCUGGAUCCUCGUGGAGACGUUUAUGCUGAAAGGUGGGAACUUCUUCUCCAAGCACGUGCCCUGGAGUUACCUCGUCUUUCUAACUAUCUAUGGGGUGGAGCUGUUCCUGAAGGUCGCCGGCCUGGGCCCUGUGGAGUACUUGUCCUCCGGAUGGAACUUGUUUGACUUCUCCGUGACAGUGUUCGCCUUCCUGGGACUGCUGGCGCUGGCCCUCAACAUGGAGCCCUUCUAUUUCAUCGUGGUCCUGCGCCCCCUCCAGCUGUUGAGGCUGUUUAAGUUGAAAGAGCGCUACCGCAACGUGCUGGACACCAUGUUCGAGCUGCUGCCCCGGAUGGCCAGCCUGGGCCUCACCCUGCUCAUCUUUUACUACUCCUUCGCCAUCGUGGGCAUGGAGUUCUUCUGCGGGAUCGUCUUCCCCAACUGCUGCAAAGUUCUGUCCUCUCUGGAGGUGACCGAUCGCCUUGUGACCCUCCUUCCUUUCUCCCUUGUGCUCCGGCCAGCACAAGUACAGUGGCAGAUGCCUACCGCUGGCGCAACCACACCGUGGGCAACAGGACCGUGGUGGAGGAAGGCUACUAUUAUCUCAAUAAUUUUGACAACAUCCUCAACAGCUUUGUGACCCUGUUUGAGCUCACAGUUGUCAACAACUGGUACAUCAUCAUGGAAGGCGUCACCUCUCAGACCUCCCACUGGAGCCGCCUCUACUUCAUGACCUUUUACAUUGUGACCAUGGUGGUGAUGACGAUCAUUGUCGCCUUCAUCCUCGAGGCCUUCGUCUUCCGGAUGAACUACAGCCGCAAGAACCAGGACUCAGAAGUUGAUGGUGGCAUCACCCUUGAGAAGGAAAUCUCCAAAGAAGAGCUGGUUGCUGUCCUGGAGCUCUACCGGGAGGUACGGGGGGCCUCCUCCGAUGUCACUCGGCUGCUGGAGACCCUCUCCCAGAUGGAGAGAUACCAGCAACGUUCCAUGGUGUUUCUGGGACGGCGAUCAAGGACCAAGAGCGACUUGAGCCUGAAGAUGUACCAGGAAGAGAUCCAGGAGUGGUACGAGGAGCAUGCCAGGGAGCAGGAGCAGCAGCGACAGCUCAGCAGCAGUGCAGCGCCCGCCACCCAGCAGCCCCCCAGCAGCCGCCAGCGCUCCCAGACUGUUACCUAGCCCAGUGCCCGAAAGCCAUCUCUUCUAUGCAAUAACACAAUAAUAGUAUUACUCUA
Molecule: RNA transcript, 2871 nt
Organism: Rhinopithecus roxellana (golden snub-nosed monkey)
Lineage: Eukaryota; Metazoa; Chordata; Mammalia; Primates; Cercopithecidae
Gene: TPCN1
Gene name: two pore segment channel 1
Exons: 28
Source: RefSeq, a predicted model, not a curated record